Molecule: ribosomal RNA, 1346 nt
Filed under: uncultured bacterium
Lineage: Bacteria
Description: partial 16S ribosomal RNA
Rfam family: Bacterial small subunit ribosomal RNA
Source: RNAcentral
GACGAACGCUGGCGGCGUGCUUAACACAUGCAAGUCGAACGGAAAGGCCCUGCUUUUGUGGGGUGCUCGAGUGGCGAACGGGUGAGUAACACGUGAGUAACCUGCCCUUGACUUUGGGAUAACCUCAGGAAACUGGGGCUAAUACCGGAUAGGAGCUCCUGCUGCAUGGUGGGGGUUGGAAAGUUUCGGCGGUUGGGGAUGGACUCGCGGCUUAUCAGCUUGUUGGUGGGGUAGUGGCUUACCAAGGCUUUGACGGGUAGCCGGCCUGAGAGGGUGACCGGCCACAUUGGGACUGAGAUACGGCCCAGACUCCUACGGGAGGCAGCGGUGGGGAAUAUUGCACAAUGGGCGGAAGCCUGAUGCAGCAACGCCGCGUGCGGGAUGACGGCCUUCGGGUUGUAAACCGCUUUCGCCUGUGACGAAGCGUGAGUGACGGUAAUGGGUAAAGAAGCACCGGCUAACUACGUGCCAGCAGCCGCGGUGAUACGUAGGGUGCGAGCGUUGUCCGGAUUUAUUGGGCGUAAAGGGCUCGUAGGUGGUUGAUCGCGUCGGAAGUGUAAUCUUGGGGCUUAACCCUGAGCGUGCUUUCGAUACGGGUUGACUUGAGGAAGGUAGGGGAGAAUGGAAUUCCUGGUGGAGCGGUGGAAUGCGCAGAUAUCAGGAGGAACACCAGUGGCGAAGGCGGUUCUCUGGGCCUUUCCUGACGCUGAGGAGCGAAAGCGUGGGGAGCGAACAGGCUUAGAUACCCUGGUAGUCCACGCUGUAAACGGUGGGUACUAGGUGUGGGGUCCAUUCCACGGGUUCCGUGCCGUAGCUAACGCUUUAAGUACCCCGCCUGGGGAGUACGGCCGCAAGGCUAAAACUCAAAGGAAUUGACGGGGCCCCGCACAAGCGGCGGAGCAUGCGGAUUAAUUCGAUGCAACGCGUAGAACCUUACCUGGGUUUGACAUGGAUCGGGAGUGCUCAGAGAUGGGUGUGCCUCUUUUGGGGUCGGUUCACAGGUGGUGCAUGGCUGUCGUCAGCUCGUGUCGUGAGAUGUUGGGUUAAGUCCCGCAACGAGCGCAACCCUUGUUCACUGUUGCCAGCACGUUAUGGUGGGGACUCAGUGGAGACCGCCGGGGUCAACUCGGAGGAAGGUGGGGAUGACGUCAAGUCAUCAUGCCCCUUAUGUCCAGGGCUUCACGCAUGCUACAAUGGCUGGUACAGAGAGUGGCGAGCCUGUGAGGGUGAGCGAAUCUCGGAAAGCCGGUCUCAGUUCGGAUUGGGGUCUGCAACUCGACCUCAUGAAGUCGGAGUCGCUAGUAAUCGCAGAUCAGCAACGCUGCGGUGAAUACGUUCCCGGGGCU